Molecule: ribosomal RNA, 112 nt
Filed under: uncultured bacterium
Lineage: Bacteria
Description: partial 16S ribosomal RNA
Source: RNAcentral
AAGGCCUGCGGGUUGUAAAGCACUUUUAGUUGGGGACAAAAAGACUACGGACAAAUACUCUGUGGUCUUGAUUUUAAACCCAAAAGAAAAAAGACACCGGCUAACUCUGUAC